CCUACGGGGUGCAGCAGUGAGGAAUAUUGGUCAAUGGACGCGAGUCUGAACCAGCCAUGCCGCGUGCGGGAAGACGGCUCUAUGGGUUGUAAACUGCUUUUGUACGGGAGUAAACGCAGAUACGCGUCUCUCUCUGAAAGUAUCCUACGAAUAAGGAUCGGCUAACUCCGUGCCAGCAGCCGCGGUAAUACGGAGGAUGCGAGCGUUAUCCGGAUUUAUUGGGUUUAAAGGGUGCGUAGGCGGUCGGAUAAGUCAGAGGUGAAAUCCCGAGGCUCAACGUCGGAAUUGCCUUUGAUACUGUUCGGCUAGAGAGUAGUUGAGGCAGGCGGAAUGUAGGGUGUAGCGGUGAAAUGCGUAGAGAUCAGACAGAACACCGAUGGCGAAGGCAGCCUACCAAGCUAUUACUGACGCUGAGGCACGAAAGCGUGGGGAGCAAACAGGAUUAGAUACCCCAGUAGUC
Molecule: ribosomal RNA, 460 nt
Filed under: uncultured bacterium
Lineage: Bacteria
Description: partial 16S ribosomal RNA
Rfam family: Bacterial small subunit ribosomal RNA
Source: RNAcentral